AGUGAACGCUGGCGGCGUGCUUAACACAUGCAAGUCGAACGAGAACGGAUUAUAGCUUGCUAUAAUUGUCAGCUAAGUGGCGCACGGGUGGGUAAUGUAUAGGUAAUAUGCCUCUUACUAAGGGAUAACAAAUGGAAACGUUUGCUAAUACCUUAUACUCCUUAUUAACAUAAGUUAAUAAGGGAAAGAUUUAUUGGUAAGAGAUUAGCCUGUAUUGUAUCAGUUAGUUGGUGGAGUAAUGGCUUACCAAGACUAUGACACAUAACUGGUUUGAGAGGAUGAUCAGUCACACUGGAACUGAGACACGGUCCAGACUCCUACGGGAGGCAGCAGUGGGGAAUAUUGCACAAUGGACGAAAGUCUGAUGCAGCAACGCCGCGUGGAGGAUGACACAUUUCGGUGCGUAAACUCCUUUUAUAUGAGAAGAUAAUGACGGUAUUAUAUGAAUAAGCACCGGCUAACUCCGUGCCAGCCGCCGCAGUAA
Molecule: ribosomal RNA, 484 nt
Filed under: uncultured bacterium
Lineage: Bacteria
Description: partial 16S ribosomal RNA
Rfam family: Bacterial small subunit ribosomal RNA
Source: RNAcentral